CCUCACUGGAGGUGAAAUGAAAGCAGUCCUGCUCUCUAGAGCCCUGCCAUGAGUUCCUACAGCCCUUUGGUUCUAUCGAGCCUUUCGGCAGCAGACUGUGUCUGUCUCUGCUCCACGAGCCACACGCCUGCAGUCACAGGGACUUCCUCCUGUCCACCACUGCAGGUGGAGCCUCUGGUCUCGCUCGGUCUGGGUGGCAGCCAUCAUUGAUUUUCCCAUCCUUCCAGCCCUUCCAUAUAACCCACGGCAGGAGUCUGUGUUUUCCUGGGGCUUUUCUCUUCCCUUUUUUUCCCCCCACUGGCAGAUGAAAAGAAACUCCCUUUUUUUCUUUCUGUGGGUUGUAGGCACUGAGCUCUGGCUCUGACUCUGGCACGGGAGUUCAGGUGGGUUAGGGGGACUGGAUGAGAGAGGAGGUGAGUUCAGGUGGGUUAGGGGGACUGGAUGAGAGAGGAGGAGGUG
Clupea harengus (Atlantic herring) is the source of this 459-nucleotide long non-coding RNA. The record is from Ensembl. NCBI's taxonomy places the organism in Eukaryota, Metazoa, Chordata, Actinopteri, Clupeiformes, Clupeidae.